GCCGCAUAAACCGAUGGUUUCUAUCAUGUAUUUACAAAGUGUUGGGUGUGUGUGUUUGCGCGCGCGCGCGUCUGUGCAGUAAUAGAAAACAGCUCACCUAAGCAUGAUCCGGACACAUUGUGGCCAUGUGUGAGACACUGCGAUGAAGAAGGGCCUGUUGCCAACCUGGAAAUAGGCUCAACUCACUCCCUAUGUUUAGAGACUCCACAUACCUGAAAAGAACGCGAGCCUGCCUGUAUCCCCUUUCCUGCAGUUUCAUCAAGGCACAUGGAAGUUGGUUUAGACUUGAGAAGAGAUUGAGAGUAUCUGUGAAGAUCCUUUGUGAUUGCUCUGCCAGUUCUGUUAACGUUUCCAUUAUUUGUGCCCGCCCUUUUCAGCUGGUUGCUACCUUGCCUGAGCAUGUUCAGCCCGGGCCUGACUUUUAUGGGCUCCCCUGGAAGCCUGUGUUGUUCACUGCCUGUUUGGGAAUCGUUUCGUUGGCCAUUUUCUUCUGGAGGACGGUCCUUGCUGUCAGGAAGAGAACAUACCAAGUCACUGAACAGCAGAUUGCUGAGAAGCUGAAGAAUACCAUAAAGGACAAUGCAGAACUUGUCCAAAAAGUAUCAAGUUAUAAACAGAAGGUAGAACCUGUUUCACAGCCCCUCCUCUAGGGUGUCUGUGGUGUAGCUCAGUUAUUAUGGUAUUUUGAAGACCUAUGUUCUCACUUCAUCAUUUCCCCCUGAGCCCUCCAGAUCUUACGCACCAUCCUGUAUAAAGUGAACAUUCUGCUCGCUUCCUUGGAACAAGGUUUCUUUUGGUAGCACAGUGACUUCUGUUACUUAGUUCUGCAUGUGUUUUUUACAUAGAUCGAGGAAUUAAAGAAGCUUAUUCUGGAGACAAAGGAAAAAAAUUCUCCUCAAACAAUUAAAUACAAGGCUGAAAUCAAGGUGCUUGAAGAAAGAAAUAAAUUUCUGACGGGUAUUGCCAAAACUGUUGGUGUUAUAUUCAAAUCUGAGAGGAAACCUAACAUGCAAAAUCAGGAUUUGGUGAGUUCUGCUGCUGCAUGUUACUACAGUUGUAUUUUUAGCUAUUUCAUAAAUUAGCUGAAUUGUUCCCAUGCUGUUAACUCCUUAAGAUUAGGAAUAACAGAACAGAACAUGCCUGUACCCAUUUUGAGGGUGUUUUAGUACUAACCCAGUAGGACCUUUUUAUAGGCAUGGGAAGUGUUUUGAUCCUGAAAUUUGGAUAAUUUCAUAGCUGAGUCCUCCAGAACAGACAGAGUCACUAAGAAACUGGUCCAGUUGAGUAGUCUGUGUAAACUGGUUUUAUUUCACAGUAGACUCUGUGCCUUUCGAAUAGUUUUAAAAUCCCCUAAGUGGAAAUGUAGUGAGGAGAGUUCUCAUGCUUCCCGCCUCCUGUGUGGCCUGAUCCUUUGCUCAGCACAGACCAGGUAAGUUGCCCAUUUUCAGUCCUUUGUGCACCAUGCUCUUUGGCGGGAAGUCAUGACACAAAACCUGCAGUUAAUCCCCGGUACCAAUGAAAAGGAAAAAGACAAAAGACAAAAAAAAAAAAAAAAAAAAAAAAGAACGGUGGCUUAGGGUCACCCCUUGAGCCUGGAUUGUCAUAAAUAUUGAGAAAUUCUGCACAUGAGACACUAUCCCCCGAGCCCAGCCACGCCUAGCCAUCGGUGUGCAGAGGAGGAGCUGGGCGGAUCUGGAGUGCCUGCAGAAGCCCCUUAAUUUGUCUGGAGAACUGAAUAUCUCUGCAAGCAGGAGGGAUCGCAGGUUCCUGAGGCACCUCGGCCUGUGGUGAGUGCUCAGCACACUCUGCCCAAAUCUCAGACUGUUCCGGACCCCCCAGGCUUCCGGGUGCAGUGAAGUGGAGCAGCAAGUUAGAGACCACUACAUCGGCCUCCCCAUCCUGGAUGCACUUGGAGGUCUGCUGAGCUUCCAAUGGGUGGGCGGGCCCACACUAUCCCCAGAGCCCAGCCUGUUUUGCUGCUGCGUCUUCCUUUGUCUGGAGGACUGUAGAUAUCUCUGCAAGCAGGGAGGGAUCACAAGCUCCUGAGGCACCGCGGCCUGUGGUGAGUACCCUAACCCAGCUGCGAUUGAAGAGCUGUGGAGCUUCCAAGGGGCAGGUGGGCGCACAGUGUCCCUGAGGCCCAGCUUGUCUGGAACUGCGGAGUUCUGAACAAGCAGAGGAGGGCCACUGGUUCUGUAGGCCCAAUGGCUUGGGGUAGCACGGUGUCAGAGUCUCAGUAGCUCCAAACAUAGAAGGGGAUUUUCAAAAGAUACUGAGGAAGCUUUCAAAUAACACUUGAAACACAGAAAUAUA
Cavia porcellus (domestic guinea pig) is the source of this 2313-nucleotide long non-coding RNA. RefSeq lists it as uncharacterized. The transcript is spliced from 4 exons. NCBI's taxonomy places the organism in Eukaryota, Metazoa, Chordata, Mammalia, Rodentia, Caviidae. The record is from RefSeq and is a predicted model, not a curated record.